Molecule: ribosomal RNA, 425 nt
Filed under: uncultured bacterium
Lineage: Bacteria
Description: partial 16S ribosomal RNA
Rfam family: Bacterial small subunit ribosomal RNA
Source: RNAcentral
GUGGGGAAUCUUGCGCAAUGGGCGAAAGCCUGACGCAGCCAUGCCGCGUGAAUGAUGAAGGUCUUAGGAUUGUAAAAUUCUUUCACCGGGGACGAUAAUGACGGUACCCGGAGAAGAAGCUCCGGCUAACUUCGUGCCAGCAGCCGCGGUAAUACGAAGGGGGCUAGCGUUGCUCGGAAUUACUGGGCGUAAAGGGAGCGUAGGCGGAUAGUUUAGUCAGAGGUGAAAGCCCAGGGCUCAACCUUGGAAUUGCCUUUGAUACUGGCUGUCUUGAGUUUGGGAGAGGUGAGUGGAACUCCGAGUGUAGAGGUGAAAUUCGUAGAUAUUCGGAAGAACACCAGUGGCGAAGGCGACUCACUGGCCCAAUACUGACGCUGAGGCGCGAAAGCGUGGGGAGCAAACAGGAUUAGAUACCCCAGUAGUCC